RNA transcript from Nomascus leucogenys (northern white-cheeked gibbon), 693 nucleotides. It is a transcript of the gene named protein phosphatase 1 regulatory subunit 14B pseudogene, with no coding region annotated. Lineage: Eukaryota; Metazoa; Chordata; Mammalia; Primates; Hylobatidae. The transcript has 2 exons. The record is from RefSeq and is a predicted model, not a curated record.
AUGCAUGGUCACUACUGUUUAAAUCUCAGUGGCCGCCCUCGCCGCGGAGUCGCACGGAGCGGAGCCAGCGAGCUAACUCGUGCCAGCGGGCGGGCGUCCCAGAGGCGGCGGCGCAGGAAGGGGCACGAUGCGCGCACGGGGCCCCGGUGGCCGCCAUGGUGGACAGCGGCACCGCGGGGGGCGUGGCGUUGGCGGCCUGGGCCCCCAGGCCGGGCAGUGGCGGCCCAGAACCACGCGUCUACUUUCAGAGGCCCCCGGGGCCGCAGGAGAGGGCCCGGGCGGCGCGGACGAUGAGGGCCCAGUGAGGCGCCAAGGGAAGGUCACCGUCAAGUAUGACCGCAAGGAGCUACGGAAGCGCCUCAACCUAGAAGAGUGGAUCCUGGAGCAGCUCAUGCGCCUCUACGACUGCCAGGAAGAGGAGAUCCCAGAAGUGGAGAUUGACGUAGAUGAGCUCCUGGACAUGGAGAGUGACGAUGCCCGGGCUGCCAGGGUCAAGGAGCUGCUGGUUGACUGUUACAAACCCACAGAGGCCUUCAUCUCUGUCCUGCUGGACAAGAUCCGGGACAUGCAGAAGCUGAGCACACCCCAGAAGAAGUGAGGGUCCCCGACCCAGGCGAACGGUGGCUCCCACAGGACAAUCGCUGCCCCCCAACCUCGUAGCAACAGCAAUACCGGGGGACCCUGCGGCCAAGC